RNAcentral lists this ribosomal RNA (462 nucleotides) under uncultured bacterium. RNAcentral's name for it is "partial 16S ribosomal RNA". It matches the Rfam family "Bacterial small subunit ribosomal RNA", at positions 28 to 507 of the family's 1533-position model. The record is from RNAcentral.
GACGAACGCUGGCGGCGUGCUUAACGCAUGCAAGUCGAACGGUAAGGCCUUUCGGGGUACACGAGUGGCGAACGGGUGAGUAACACGUGGGUGAUCUGCCCUGCACUUCGGGAUAAGCCCGGGAAACUGGGUCUAAUACCGGAUAGGACUGCGCGGUGCAUGCCGUGUGGUGGAAAGAUUUAUCGGUGCAGGAUGGGCCCGCGGCCUAUCAGCUUGUUGGUGGGGUAAUGGCCUACCAAGGCGACGACGGGUAGCCGGCCUGAGAGGGCGACCGGCCACACUGGGACUGAGACACGGCCCAGACUCCUACGGGAGGCAGCAGUGGGGAAUAUUGCACAAUGGGCGCAAGCCUGAUGCAGCGACGCCGCGUGAGGGAUGACGGCCUUCGGGUUGUAAACCUCUUUCAGCAGGGACGAAGCGUGAGUGACGGUACCUGCAGAAGAAGCACCGGCCAACUACGUG